This 25-nucleotide non-coding RNA is filed under the name Mus musculus (house mouse). The record is from RNAcentral. Lineage: Eukaryota; Metazoa; Chordata; Mammalia; Rodentia; Muridae.
UGACGAAAGAUGCCCUGGUGUACAG